This is a long non-coding RNA of Xiphias gladius (swordfish), 1114 nucleotides long. RefSeq lists it as uncharacterized. The transcript is spliced from 3 exons. The record is from RefSeq and is a predicted model, not a curated record. Lineage: Eukaryota; Metazoa; Chordata; Actinopteri; Istiophoriformes; Xiphiidae.
AAUGAGCGGAUCAACCUGGAGUUGGAGCGGAUAAAUGUUGAACAACAGUUACUUUUACUGAAAUUAUUGCAACACAGAAAAGAGAGAAGACAUCGGAGGAGAUGAUGCCAUGGGGAGAAAACAUGCUGAUAUGAGGUACUAUUUAAAGAAGAGGAACAUGGCAGAGUGGGAGAGAGCAGAUAACGCCUGGGACCCAUUGAAGUUAUUCUUGAUGGAGAAGACGACAUUAAAACAGAAAUGAGUUUGUUUGCUGAGGGCGUGGAGCGCAAGCUCUUCCUCUGCACCGCCUGCAUGUAUACGUACCCUGAGGAGCAGGCUGAGAUGACUGUGGGCCAAUGGAGAUUGCUGUCUGAGAGCCUAUCCAUUAGUUGACGACAACCAUCAUUAGAGGAGAGAUUUCAAAAUUGAAUGCUAGCUCAAAAAUUGGGCUCCCUUUUGAUACCCUAUCUAGCGAGUCUGUUAGUGGAGCAGAGACAGAUAGAGGGCUUGGCAUAUCCAGGGAAUGGGACUUGCAACUAAUCUGUUUAAUUUGCUACUAAUGCACAUAAUGACCAACACACUUAUGCUUUCACUGGCACAGAGCAUCAUUGAUGGACCUUUUCCAUGGUGACAGUAAAAUUGCUUUUUUCUUCUGAGUCACAGGUUUCAACAUCAAUAUGUACAAAAAAGUCUGAUUCAAGCCACACUGUUCUGUUUAUAAAUAUGAGACAUUUGCUUACUUCUCUGUUUGAAGUAUCUGUAUACAUUACAUUUUCAUAUAUAUGUCACACGUGCUCCCUGUCGAUGAGAUGCUAUAUCUAGUUCAUGAAAGCUUUGACAUUUGCAAGUGCUUUAACUGUAUUUGCUUAAAAAAAUAUGCACAGGAGUCAGUUUUAUGUUCAUGAUUUGUUUGGAAUAAAUAGAAGAACUGCUGUGUCAGCUAUGCUUUCUCUGCAUGAAUAACAAAAAGACUGACAACUACAGAAAAUCUAUCUUCACUAGGGUUGCGACUACUGAUAAUUUUCCAUCAUCGAUUAAUUAAACAUUUUGUCCAUAAAUACCAGAAAAUGUUCAACAAUUUCCAUUGCAUUAUCUGAGGUGAUGUCAUCAAAUGGCUUGUUUUGUCUGACCAAUA